GAUGAACGCUGGCGUCGUGCCUAAUACAUGCAAGUCGAGCGAACAGAUAAGGAGCUUGCUCCUUUGACGUUAGCGGCGGACGGGUGAGUAACACGUGGGUAACCUACCUAUAAGACUGGAAUAACUCCGGGAAACCGGGGCUAAUGCCGGAUAACAUUUAGAACCGCAUGGUUCUAAAGUGAAAGAUGGUUUUGCUAUCACUUAUAGAUGGACCCGCGCCGUAUUAGCUAGUUGGUAAGGUAACGGCUUACCAAGGCAACGAUACGUAGCCGACCUGAGAGGGUGAUCGGCCACACUGGAACUGAGACACGGUCCAGACUCCUACGGGAGGCAGCAGUAGGGAAUCUUCCGCAAUGGGCGAAAGCCUGACGGAGCAACGCCGCGUGAGUGAUGAAGGUCUUCGGAUCGUAAAACUCUGUUAUUAGGGAAGAACAAAUGUGUAAGUAACUGUGCACGUCUUGACGGUACCUAAUCAGAAAGCCACGGCUAACUACGU
RNAcentral lists this ribosomal RNA (496 nucleotides) under uncultured bacterium. Its description in RNAcentral is "partial 16S ribosomal RNA". It matches the Rfam family "Bacterial small subunit ribosomal RNA", at positions 28 to 506 of the family's 1533-position model. The record is from RNAcentral.